UCCUCUGUAGUUCAGUCGUAGAACGGCGGACUGUUAAUCCGUAUGUCACUGGUUCGAGUCCAGUCAGAGGAGCCA
Molecule: transfer RNA, 75 nt
Filed under: Escherichia coli
Lineage: Bacteria; Pseudomonadati; Pseudomonadota; Gammaproteobacteria; Enterobacterales; Enterobacteriaceae
Also listed under: 2 other names
Description: tRNA-Asn(gtt)
Rfam family: tRNA
About the family: Transfer RNA (tRNA) molecules are approximately 80 nucleotides in length. Their secondary structure includes four short double-helical elements and three loops (D, anti-codon, and T loops).
Source: RNAcentral